AGCUCCAAUAGCGUAUAUUAAAGUUGUUGCAGUUAAAAAGCUCGUAGUUGGAUGUCUGGUGGGAGAGAUUGGUCCAACACACUGUGUUGGAACUGAAUCCUCUCCGGUAAUCCUUGGGUGGAUCUUGUCUGGCAUUAAGUUGUCAGUCAGGGGAUGCCCAUCGUUUACUGUGAAAAAAUUAGAGUGUUCAAAGCAGGCUUAUGCCAUUGUAUAUAUUAGCAUGGAAUAAUAAGAUAGGGCCCUGGUGCUAUUUUGUUGGUUUGCGUACCGAGGUAAUGAUUAAUAGGGUCAGUUGGGGGUAUUUAUAUUCAGUAUUCAGUGGUGAAAUACUUAGACCUACGGAAGACAAACUACUGCAAAGCAUUUACCAAGGAUGUUUUCA
RNAcentral lists this ribosomal RNA (382 nucleotides) under uncultured eukaryote. RNAcentral's name for it is "SSU rRNA". It matches the Rfam family "Eukaryotic small subunit ribosomal RNA", at positions 587 to 972 of the family's 1831-position model. The record is from RNAcentral.